This 253-nucleotide ribosomal RNA is filed under the name uncultured bacterium. RNAcentral describes it as "partial 16S ribosomal RNA". It matches the Rfam family "Bacterial small subunit ribosomal RNA", at positions 524 to 776 of the family's 1533-position model. The record is from RNAcentral.
UACAGAGGGGGCAAGCGUUGUUCGGAAUUACUGGGCGUAAAGGGCGCGUAGGCGGUUAGUUAAGUCCUGUGUGAAAUCCCCCGGCUCAACUGGGGAGGGUCACGCGAUACUGAUCGACUCGAAGGCAGGAGAGGGUAGUGGAAUUCCCGGUGUAGUGGUGAAAUGCGUAGAUAUCGGGAGGAACACCAGUGGCGAAGGCGACUACCUGGCCUGUUCUUGACGCUGAGGCGCGAAAGCUAGGGGAGCAAACGGG